This 346-nucleotide ribosomal RNA is filed under the name uncultured bacterium. Its description in RNAcentral is "bacterial SSU rRNA". It matches the Rfam family "Bacterial small subunit ribosomal RNA", at positions 1 to 334 of the family's 1533-position model. The record is from RNAcentral.
CUAGCGACUUCAGAGUUUGAUCCUGGCUCAGGAUGAACGCUAGCUACAGGCUUAACACAUGCAAGUCGAGGGGCAGCAGGGAUUUAGCUUGCUAAAUCCGCUGGCGACCGGCGCACGGGUGCGUAACGCGUAUCCAACUUUCCCGUUACUCAGGGAUAGCCUUCCGAAAGGGAGAUUAAUACCUGAUGGUGUUUGAAAUUCGCAUGUUCUUCAAACUAAAGAUUUAUCGGUAACGGAUAGGGAUGCGUGACAUUAGAUAGUAGGCGGGGUAACGGCCCACCUAGUCUACGAUGUCUAGGGGUUCUGAGAGGAAGGUCCCCCACACUGGAACUGAGACACGGUCCAG